Molecule: long non-coding RNA, 395 nt
Organism: Zonotrichia leucophrys gambelii
Lineage: Eukaryota; Metazoa; Chordata; Aves; Passeriformes; Passerellidae
Exons: 3
Source: RefSeq, a predicted model, not a curated record
CCACCGUCCAGAAUCGCUCCAGUGUCAGCUGAAUUCCUCGUGUUCAUGUUCCAAAGAAAACUACUGCAGUUGUCUUCAGCUGUUGCCUCUGUUGGUGGUCCUUGUAGAGAAGCCAAGGGCUGGGGUGAUCUCAGGAGACUGCUCAGGGGGAAUUCAGGGACGAGAAACUUAAUGGCUGCAGUUUUAUAGUCUUUAUCAGACCAUCGAGCUGUAAUCAGAAGAUAAGAGUUAUCAUCCGUCAUCUGAAUCAAGUUUCAAGAGAAAAUCAUUGCAAGACAGCCUCUGAUGUCAGCGUUUCCUACAGGUAAAAACCACGAUGCUUUGCUUUAAUAUAAUCAAAAGAUGAUAUGUAAUGUGAUGUUUUGAAAUGACUUUUAUAUGAAAAAGACUUAAAC